RNAcentral lists this transfer RNA (76 nucleotides) under Alphaproteobacteria bacterium ADurb.BinA305. RNAcentral describes it as "tRNA-Ala". Lineage: Bacteria; Pseudomonadati; Pseudomonadota; Alphaproteobacteria. The record is from RNAcentral.
GCGCGCUUUGGUCGGGGACGACUUCGGCGCCGGCGGCGCGGAAGGCCUCGCACAGUGCCGGGCCCAUGAACGCGUC